UAAAUGCCAGUCGUUGCAGGAGU
Molecule: microRNA, 23 nt
Filed under: Caenorhabditis elegans
Lineage: Eukaryota; Metazoa; Nematoda; Chromadorea; Rhabditida; Rhabditidae
Description: microRNA miR-357
Source: RNAcentral